UCCGUAGGCGGUGCGGCAAGUCGGAAGUGAAAUCUCAGGGCUUAACCCUGAGGCUGCUUCCGAAACUGCCGUGCUCGAGUGCGAGAGAGGCGAGUGGAAUUGCAGGUGUAGCGGUGAAAUGCGUAGAUAUCUGCAGGAACAUCCGAGGCGAAAGCGGCUCGCUGGAUCGCAACUGACGCUGAGGGACGAAAGCUAGGGGAGCAAACAGGAUUAGAUACCCUGGUAGUCCUAGCCCUAAACGAUCAGGACUGGGCGUGGGCCCCGUACGGGGCUCGUGCCGCAGCUAACGCGUUAAGUCCUGCGCCUGGGGAGUACGGUCGCAAGGCUGAA
This 330-nucleotide ribosomal RNA is filed under the name uncultured bacterium. RNAcentral describes it as "bacterial SSU rRNA". It matches the Rfam family "Bacterial small subunit ribosomal RNA", at positions 568 to 898 of the family's 1533-position model. The record is from RNAcentral.